AGCUUGCUAGAUUGAUGGCGAGUGGCGAACGGGUGAGUAAUACAUCGGAACGUGCCCUGUAGUGGGGGAUAACUAGUCGAAAGAUUAGCUGAUACCGCAUACGACCUGAGGGUGAAAGUGGGGGACCGCAAGGCCUCAUGCUAUAGGAGCGGCCGAUGUCUGAUUAGCUAGUUGGUGGGGUAAAGGCCCACCAAGGCGACGAUCAGUAGCUGGUCUGAGAGGACGAUCAGCCACACUGGGACUGAGACACGGCCCAGACUCCUACGGGAGGCAGCAGUGGGGAAUUUUGGACAAUGGGGGCAACCCUGAUCCAGCAAUGCCGCGUGUGUGAAGAAGGCCUUCGGGUUGUAAAGCACUUUUGUCCGGAAAGAAAUCGCACUUACUAAUAUUAGGUGUGGAUGACGGUACCGGAAGAAUAAGGACCGGCUAACUACGUGCCAGCAGCCGCGGUAAUACGUACGGCCCAAGCGUUACUCGGAAUUACUGGGCGUAAAGCGUGCGCAGGCGGUUGUGCAAGACGAUGUGAAAUCCCCGGGCUUAACCUGGGAAUUGCAUUGGUGACUGCACGGCUAGAGUGUGUCAGAGGGGGGUAGAAUUCCACGUGUAGCAGUGAAAUGCGUAGAGAUGUGGAGGAAUACCGAUGGCGAAGGCAGACCCCUGGGAUAACACUGACGCUCAUGCACGAAAGCGUGGGGAGCAAACAGGAUUAGAUACCCUGGUAGUCCACGCCCUAAACGAUGUCAACUAGUUGUUGGGGAUUCAUUUCCUUAGUAACGUAGCUAACGCGUGAAGUUGACCGCCUGGGGAGUACGGUCGCAAGAUUAAAACUCAAAGGAAUUGACGGGGACCCGCACAAGCGGUGGAUGAUGUGGAUUAAUUCGAUGCAACGCGAAAAACCUUACCUACCCUUGACAUGCCACUAACGAAGCAGAGAUGCAUUAGGUGCUCGAAAGAGAAAGUGGACACAGGUGCUGCAUGGCUGUCGUCAGCUCGUGUCGUGAGAUGUUGGGUUAAGUCCCGCAACGAGCGCAACCCUUGUCUCUAGUUGCUACGAAAGGGCACUCUAGAGAGACUGCCGGUGACAAACCGGAGGAAGGUGGGGAUGACGUCAAGUCCUCAUGGCCCUUAUGGGUAGGGCUUCACACGUCAUACAAUGGUGCAUACAGAGGGUUGCCAAGCCGCGAGGUGGAGCUAAUCCCAGAAAAUGCAUCGUAGUCCGGAUCGUAGUCUGCAACUCGACUACGUGAAGCUGGAAUCGCUAGUAAUCGCGGAUCAGCAUGCCGCGGUGAUACGUUCCCGGGUCUUGUACACACCGCCCGUCACACCAUGGGAGUGGGUUUUGCCCAGAAGUAGUUAGCCUAACC
RNAcentral lists this ribosomal RNA (1364 nucleotides) under uncultured Burkholderiaceae bacterium. RNAcentral describes it as "16S ribosomal RNA". It matches the Rfam family "Bacterial small subunit ribosomal RNA", at positions 77 to 1440 of the family's 1533-position model. The record is from RNAcentral. Lineage: Bacteria; Pseudomonadati; Pseudomonadota; Betaproteobacteria; Burkholderiales; Burkholderiaceae.